AAUCAGCUCUACAAAAGACUUGUCAUAGAGGGCUCAGAACAGCUGGAUCCCAACCAGCCCAGGCCUCCAGGUAUUGGACCUGCUCAUGGACCAGCAGACAUGUCCCAGUUACGAGCAGAUGGACCAAAACAGCCAUAUCUAAAGGUUUACCCUUGGACCGUGUACAACGACAGGAGACGGGGCUUCAACUACAAGUGGUUCUCCAUUCAUAAGUGG
Melanotaenia boesemani (Boeseman's rainbowfish) is the source of this 216-nucleotide long non-coding RNA. RefSeq lists it as uncharacterized. Lineage: Eukaryota; Metazoa; Chordata; Actinopteri; Atheriniformes; Melanotaeniidae. The transcript is spliced from 3 exons. The record is from RefSeq and is a predicted model, not a curated record.